AAUAGAUACCCAGGUAGUCCACGCCGUAAACGUUGGAUACUAGGUGUGGCGGUUAUACCAAUGACUGCCGUGCCGAAGCUAACGCAUUAAGUAUCCCGCCUGGGGAGUACGGCCGCAAGGCUAAAACUCAAAGGAAUUGACGGGUCCCCGCACAAGCGGCGGAGCAUGCGGCUUAAUUCGAUGCAACCCGAAGAACCUUACCUGGGUUUGACAUCACGGGAAAAGCUGUAGAAAUACAGUGUCCAUUAGGGCCCGUGACAGGUGGUGCAUGGCUGUCGUCAGCUCGUGUCGUGAGAUGUUGGGUUAAGUCCCGCAACGAGCGCAACCCUUGUCCUAUGUUGCCAGCGGUUCGGCCGGGGACUCAUAGGAGACUGCCGGGGAUAACUCGGAGGAAGGUGAGGACGACGUCAAGUCAUCAUGCCCCUUAUAUCCAGGGCUGCACGCAUGCUACAAUGGCCGGCACAACGGGCAGCGACCCCGCGAGGGUGAGCGAAUCCUAAAAAGCCGGUCCUAGUUCGGAUUGAAGUCUGCAACUCGACUU
This 541-nucleotide ribosomal RNA is filed under the name uncultured bacterium. RNAcentral describes it as "bacterial SSU rRNA". It matches the Rfam family "Bacterial small subunit ribosomal RNA", at positions 777 to 1318 of the family's 1533-position model. The record is from RNAcentral.